Molecule: ribosomal RNA, 392 nt
Filed under: uncultured bacterium
Lineage: Bacteria
Description: partial 16S ribosomal RNA
Rfam family: Bacterial small subunit ribosomal RNA
Source: RNAcentral
AUACGGAGGAUGCGAGCGUUAUCCGGAUUUAUUGGGUUUAAAGGGUGCGCAGGCGGCCAUUUAAGUCAGCGGUUAAAUCGUGGGGCUCAACCCCAUCCUGCCGUUGAUACUGGGUGGCUUGAUUGCGGUCGAGGUUGGCGGAAUUCGUUGUGUAGCGGUGAAAUGCAUAGAUAUGACGAAGAACACCGAUUGCGUAGGCAGCUGACCAGACCGCAAAUGACGCUCAUGCACGAAAGUGCGGGGAUCGAACAGGAUUAGAUACCCUGGUAGUCCGCACAGUAAACGAUGAAUACUUGUUUUCGGCGAUAUAAUGUCGGAGGCAAAGCGAAAGCGAUAAGUAUUCCACCUGGGGAGUACGCCGGCAACGGUGAAACUCAAAGGAAUUGACGGGG